GUGUACACUAACGUUAGCCUUUUGGCUAAAUGCUAAUUUCUAACGUGAGCAUGUUUAUUUUCCUUUAAACGCCUGCAUAGAGCUAAAAUAUAAUAUUUUACCACAACAACUAAGGUCAAAAUCUCAAUUUUUCAUAGAUUACAAAGAACACAAGAGUGUGCUCGAAACAUUUCUCUCCGGAAUGUUUUUCAAGAACACUGACUGGAAUCAGGAAGCUAAAGGGAGGUUCAGUUCCCUCCGUGUUUACCUGGACUCAACAGCCAAACGAAAGGAAAACCUUGCGAUCACAAGAAAAAUGGCAUUUAGAGGAAGAACAUGAGGAAGAUGAAAGUUCUACAAAGGAUGGACCAAGCAAUGAAGAAUGGUUAGUAGAAAUAUAUCAUACAAAAUGUGUACCAUAUUUUCUGCACUAUAAGGCGCACUUAAAAGCCU
This is a long non-coding RNA of Carassius auratus (goldfish), 432 nucleotides long. RefSeq lists it as uncharacterized. Lineage: Eukaryota; Metazoa; Chordata; Actinopteri; Cypriniformes; Cyprinidae. The transcript has 3 exons. The record is from RefSeq and is a predicted model, not a curated record.